CUAAGAAUAUUCCGCAAUGGACGGAAGUCUGACGGAGCGACGCCGCGUGGAUGAAGAAGGCCGAAAGGUUGUAAAGUUCUUUUGCUGGGGAAGAAUAACCGCAGGAGGGAAUGCCUGUGGGAUGACAAGAACCGGCGAAUAAGCCCCGGCCAACUACGUGCCAGCAGCCGCGGUAACACGUAGGGGGCGAGCGUUGUUCGGAAUUACUGGGCGUAAAGGGCAUGUAGGCGGCUUGGAAAGCCUGGCGUGAAAGUCUGCAGCUUAACUGCAGGGGUGCGCUGGGAACUGCUGAGCUUGAGUGACGGAGAGGGAGCUGGAAUUCCUGGUGUAGGGGUGAAAUCUGUAGAUAUCAGGAAGAACACCGAUGGCGAAGGCAAGCUCCUGGCCGAUGACUGACGCUGAGGUGCGAAAGUGUGGGGACCAAACAGGAUUAGAUACCCUGGUAGUCCACACAGUCAACGAUGUGCACUAGGUGCUGGGGCGGUAGCUUCGGUGCCGGAGCGAACGUGGUAAGUGCACCGCCUGGGGAGUAUGCUCGCAAGGGUGAAACUCAAAGGAAUUGACGGGGGUCAUANCU
Molecule: ribosomal RNA, 577 nt
Filed under: uncultured bacterium
Lineage: Bacteria
Description: partial 16S ribosomal RNA
Rfam family: Bacterial small subunit ribosomal RNA
Source: RNAcentral